UACGUAGGGUGCAAGCGUCGUCCGGAAUUAUUGGGCGUAAAGAGCUCGUAGGCGGUCUGUCACGUCGGCUGUGAAAUCCCGAGGCUCAACCUCGGGUCUGCAGUCGAUACGGGCAAACUAGAGUAUUGCAGGGGAGACUGGAAUUCCUGGUGUAGCGGUGAAAUGCGCAGAUAUCAGGAGGAACACCGGUGGCGAAGGCGGGUCUCUGGGCAAUAACUGACGCUGAGGAGCGAAAGCGUGGGGAGCGAACAGG
RNAcentral lists this ribosomal RNA (253 nucleotides) under uncultured bacterium. Its description in RNAcentral is "partial 16S ribosomal RNA". It matches the Rfam family "Bacterial small subunit ribosomal RNA", at positions 524 to 776 of the family's 1533-position model. The record is from RNAcentral.